This is a long non-coding RNA of Hipposideros armiger (great roundleaf bat), 3277 nucleotides long. RefSeq lists it as uncharacterized. The record is from RefSeq and is a predicted model, not a curated record. NCBI's taxonomy places the organism in Eukaryota, Metazoa, Chordata, Mammalia, Chiroptera, Hipposideridae. The transcript is spliced from 4 exons.
UAGUACUAAUAUUAAAUAACCAGAUAAGUGGUGUUAAUUCAGAGCAGGAUAAGAUCAUUAUAGAUUAGGUUGACCUUCAUAGAAGAAAUAAAACUUGAACUAGUUCUAAAAGAUGAGUAGGAUUUCAGUAGAUACAAACGAAGAGGGGAGAUUAAUUUGGAUUAAUGGAUUUGAGGAAGAUUUGAGUGAAGAUCAUUCAUGGUGUGAUUCCCCUAUCAUUUAUCCACAGCAGAAAUCAUUAAUCCUCCAUGGCACUAAUUCUUGCUGAGCCUGGACACAAUCUGGUAAAAUGAACUAGAUAAUAAUAAAAGAGAUGUAGACAUUAAAUGGAGAGAUAUGUUGAAAAAGGCAUCAAUGAGGCAUCUUGAAAAUGUCUAACCCUGGAGGUCAAGAUGUGGGAAUUUUUGCAUGUGCAAUAGGGAAGCCCUUGGUGCAGAGACUAUGAAGGGUUUCUGUUGCAUCUGUGCUGAAUAUGCAGGCAUCUGAGGGCUGUGAUAGGCAUCACAACCAGACUCAGAAAAAUAAUGCCAGGGGAAGGCAGUGCAAUGCAUUCUGCCAGAGGGCAGCACUCAGGCUAUUUCUAGGCUGACAGAGACCCGAGAGUUAUAUCAGCUGCAGAGUUGGGCCACCAUUGCCAGCAGAGUAAGCAUCAAACAGGGGCAAAGAAACAAUAAGCCCUGGAAAUCUAGGAAGCCAGAGGACCACUUACUCAAGGAAUUCAACUCUUUCCUGCUGCUCUAAAGUCCCCUUUCCCUCAUACAUCCAGAUGCCUGUCAGGGGAGAGGUGGCUAUCUGAGAGACCAAUUUUUAUUCAGGAGAGUCUGAGCAGUGCCUUAAAGACUGUUUAAAUGAUCAGAUCAGACUAUGUUAAACUGGUUUGGGAACUUCUGAAAGAUGUGGUAUGAGCAACUGAGAAGAUGUACAAGACCUUCAUGUGAGUAAAGGGUACCAGUCAGCUAGCUCAUCCAUUACCUUUGAUGAGGUAAGGCAGAACUGAAUGUGGAAUGAUGCAGGCCUGUACCCAUUUCCAAGACGGGCUGAUUGGGCCCAUCUGAGGUAAGUCAGGAUUGAUGCCAGAGCAUGUGGCCUACUAAGCAGGUAGCUCAGUUCACUCAGCUGCAGGGGCACUGCAUACCCAUGUGUACCUGCCUCAGCACCACCAGUGUCCCAGCACUGGCUGUACCCAUUGCCAAGGAAGAACCAUGUGUUUGAAACAUCCAUUACACCUGGCCCUGUCAAACCUGUGAAGACAGAUCCUUGUGGUCUGCUGUUUUCAUCGGCACCCACCUUGUUUCUCUCCUCAUCCUGUACUUUUUCAGUAAUAGUCUGUGGAGCUUUCUACCAUAUGCUUUCUUUGCUGCCAGGAUUAGUAAAAAAUUAGCCCCAAAUUGCUGUCUUCCUAUUCCAAAAGUCUGUAACCUUUAUGUUCUAUGUAUUGGGUGUGAGGGAUGCCUUGUAGCCCUUAGCUAAUUUCAGGAUCUAUGAUUAGCAUACCUUGAGUAUAAAUAAUAAAUUUGCAAGCCCAGUGGUGGCUUGCAGUUCCUAUACAGGAGAAGUUUAAGAGCAGAACUCUGAAAGGGGAGGGAGGCAGAAGAUUUGUCUUGAAGCUGAGUGCACAGAGUAAUGUGAUCCGCUGACUUGAACUGACCACUAGAAAACUAAAAAACAAAGAUAUGAUUAAUAAAAACAUGUACUUUGUUCAUAUAACUGAGUUUUAUAAAUGUAGAAUCUAGAGCCUUUAAAAAUAUCUUCUGUUGGCUAAUUAUUUCAUUUACUUGGUUUCUUCCUUCCCCAAGCAAGGUAUGACACUAUUAACCUGAGAUUUUAAACACAUCCUUUGCUGACUUUUUUCUAUUUAUGUAUUUUUAUUUUGUUUACUUUAUGGGGGGGUGCGGAAGGAGUUUAUUGCCAUUGAUGCCCACAACUCUUUCUCAAAUCCUCCAAGCAGUCUUUUCCUUGGGUGAGCUAUACUAUAAGAUUCUAAUCAUUAUGUUGUGCAAUAUAAAAAUACCUUCUAUAUGUAGCAAUGACAGCACACAUGCCCACACCCAGUGAAAUAAGGUCAUGUUACUGAAAUUAUCUCCAUUGAGGUGAUAGGUGGUGCCAUGAUUGUGGAUGAACUCACCAAGGAAAUGAGUAUGGAAAGAAGAAUGCAGAAAGCUGAGGACUGCAGCAUGGAGGGAGAAGCUUACAGUUCAGAGGAGGAAGAGGACCUUUGCUGGAGUGAGAGUUAGCUAAAAGAUGAUGGCCAGUGGUGGUUUUGCUGGAUGGUGCAUGAACUUUUCCCACAUAUGGAUGACCCCUUGGAGACGCAUCUACUGCACAUCUCACCAGCGGCCGGUGAACCCUGUGCAUCCUCUUGGUCUUCCAGAGAGGCCUCUUAGGGUUGGCACACCAGCUCACCUUCUAAAGUCUCCAGCUCCCUCUGGGCCCAUGUGAAUUUAAGAAUCUGUUGAAUCACUGGUUCUCUAUGAAGGAUUUUUCAUGGGGAAAAACUACUCUUUUGGAUGAUUAUCUUUUCACAAAACUGAUAUUUCCAGCCCUCCGAGUAUGGUACCAGUUCAACUUAUCUAGACAGGUAAGUUAGAAGCUGAGAGCUGAUUUGAAAAUAUUUUAAAUUAAACAAUUUUUAAUUCAUUAAAGAAAGCGAUGUAUGAAUUCAAAGUAAAAACCUUUGACCCUUUAAACAAUAAUAGCAGCUCUUAAAGGAUAUUGAAUAUUAUGAGAAGGUGACCUGGACCUAAGGUCUAGAACCAUACUGUGUGCUGCUGUAUGGGGGGAAGUGGGCCACAUGAGCAAUAAUGGGGCUUUGACCUGUUUUCAGGAUUCUAUCUCUCCCUCACUGGGGCUAAAAUAAAUAAUGCAGAAUUUUAGUAAAGUCUUUCUUUGCCUUCAAUAUGGUUCACUGUUUCUCUCUUUAUACUGCCUCCUCCCCUCCCUUAUUGAAAUGCUGCAUUUGAAAUGUACUGCUCCUGCCUUAUUUUAUCUUACUUUCCACGGCUGUUCUCUGCCUUCUGUUGACAGGUUCUCUUGGACCUGUGUGUCUUGUGCGCAGGUGACAAUCACAUAUAAUCAGGGCCUUGCUUGUCAGAUUAGUCAAGCAGAGAGAAGACUGGAAGGUGUUUUGUUUCUCCAGUGUCUUAUAGCCCCGGAGGCAUGGUCUGGUGUAGAGCAAACCUGAGGGUUCAGAGUUAGCUGCGAAAUCAGUGGCCAGUUGGAAGAGAGAAAGAGAAGGGGAAAGAUGCUUGAAAUGACAUACCUUUCACUUGAACUUGUU